CUGCGAAUGUCAAAAACUCAAGGCGAAAAGUGUUGCCAGAUUGCAGUGGUGAAUUUGUGUGUUUUUGUUUUUCUCACAGUCUCUCUGAGGAAAACACUAAAAGGCUGAUUUCCUCGGAAAAACCUUUGUGAAAAUACCAAAUUUUCCUCAAAACUAGUCCAGUGAAUCUGUUCACGGUUAUGUCUGCUCCAUCUGUCUACGGUCGUGGAAUUGUGGGGCUCUUCCGGCAGGGCUGCCAUGAAAUACCUGAAGUAAUGGGUAGCUGCGCUCUUGGCCUUCUUGGGAUUGCUAUAGGAACAGUUGCCCUGCACCGAUACAAUAAGAGAGAUGGCGAUAAUCGUAGAUACAAAUUGGACUACGUUAUUAUGCGCUCUGAUGAUCCCCGGGCAGCUAGAGUACACAAAGAUUGAUCACAUAGAAUCAGCAAUUGUUUACUCUUCUAGAUGAUUAUUAUAAAUGCAGUGAUCUGUACAAAAAAUU
Molecule: long non-coding RNA, 480 nt
Organism: Phlebotomus papatasi
Lineage: Eukaryota; Metazoa; Arthropoda; Insecta; Diptera; Psychodidae
Exons: 2
Source: RefSeq, a predicted model, not a curated record